AGUGAACGCUGGCGGCAUGCCUUACACAUGCAAGUCGAACGGCAGCGGGGGAGAAGCUUGCUUUUCCUGCCGGCGAGUGGCGAACGGGUGAGUAAUACAUCGGAACGUGCCCUGUAGCGGGGGAUAACUAGUCGAAAGAUUAGCUAAUACCGCAUACGACCCGAGGGUGAAAGUGGGGGACCGCAAGGCCUCAUGCUAUAGGAGCGGCCGAUGUCUGAUUAGCUAGUUGGUGGGGUAAAGGCCUACCAAGGCGACGAUCAGUAGCUGGUCUGAGAGGACGAUCAGCCACACUGGGACUGAGACACGGCCCAGACUCCUACGGGAGGCAGCAGUGGGGAAUUUUGGACAAUGGGCGAAAGCCUGAUCCAGCAAUGCCGCGUGUGUGAAGAAGGCCUUCGGGUUGUAAAGCACUUUUGUCCGGAAAGAAAUGGCUCUGGUUAAUACCUGGGGUCGAUGACGGUACCGGAAGAAUAAGGACCGGCUAACUACGUGCCAGCCGCCGCCGUAA
Molecule: ribosomal RNA, 508 nt
Filed under: uncultured bacterium
Lineage: Bacteria
Description: partial 16S ribosomal RNA
Rfam family: Bacterial small subunit ribosomal RNA
Source: RNAcentral